GACGAACGCUGGCGGCGUGCUUAACACAUGCAAGUGGAGCGACGAAACGGGCUUCGGCCCGUGGCAAAGCCGCGAACGGGUGAGUAACACGUGGGUAACCCUGCCCCGAUGACCGGGACAACCCGGGGAAACCCGGGCUAAUACCGGAUGUGGUUCUUUCACAUGAGUGGAUGAACUAAAGAUAGGCUUCGGCCUUCGCAUCGGGAUGGCCGCGGCGCAUUAGCUGUUGGUGGGGUAACGGCCUACCAAGGCGACGAUGCGUAGCUGGUCUGAGAGGACGAUCAGCCACACUGGGACGUGAGACA
Molecule: ribosomal RNA, 305 nt
Filed under: uncultured bacterium
Lineage: Bacteria
Description: bacterial SSU rRNA
Rfam family: Bacterial small subunit ribosomal RNA
Source: RNAcentral